Molecule: long non-coding RNA, 315 nt
Organism: Conger conger (European conger)
Lineage: Eukaryota; Metazoa; Chordata; Actinopteri; Anguilliformes; Congridae
Exons: 3
Source: RefSeq, a predicted model, not a curated record
UCCUUGCAGGCCCUGGGACUGUGUGGUCAGUGGGCGUGACCCUGUAUAACCUCGUUUGCGGCGGCGAUCCCUUCACUUCUUACACCAGCAAGGGAAUGCGACAUGUGGAGAUCAGUGCCGGGCUGUCACCAGAAAUCAAGGACUUCAUUUGCUGUUGCCUGAGGCCCCAGGCAAGAGACCGACCCACCCUGGAGCAGCUGCAACUCCACCCCUGGAUCCUGAAACACUUCUAAUACCCAAAAAGACUCGACAAGGCCCCCCGAAUACUUGCCAACUGAGUGUUUCCAGAAAGAGGACCAGCCCACCCUGGAGGAG